AGGCCUUAACACAUGCCUCCAAAUUACAAAACAAGAUUUACUACUAGGUACACAUCGGAAGAAGCAGGUGUUAAUACCACUGGAACUUUGCCUUGCAAAUUAUUUACAUAAUCUGGAUAUGACUCAUUGCUCUUGGUGUAAUCCCCAAGGACCAGAAGCUCUACUUUAAAGGUUAUUUUGAAGAUUGACUACGAUUACAUAUGUAAAGCUUCUUAAAACAGUGCCCAGCAAAUGGAAAAAGAAACAUAAGAAGGAACUGAAGUAUGGGAAUCUUUUCAACCAUUACAAUGCUUCAAGGUAUAUUUAUUUUCCAUUCUUUCACAAAGGGACAACUGUAUAACACCCAGAAAGCAAUAUGCCACAGAGAUGGCUGCUGAUGCAGGAAGACCCUGCCUGAUUAGGUGGGGGCAGCAGCGGUAUUGGCACGAGUGACUGGCACUGUGUAGGCUAUAUCCAAUACGUCUGGAAACCUCAUUGGCUCUACCUUCAAAAUACAUUCAGAAUUCAGGAAGUUCCUCGGGCAAAAAGGAAUAUGAGACCAACCAUAAACCUGGAUCUACAUCAAGAAAUGAAGAGUAUGGGAAAUGGAGUAAAACAAGAGUUUUGGAAGUAAGAUCAUUAUCCUCGUGGCAUGGCUGCUUGGUAGCAGGUCAAGAUUUUGUUCAUGACUCAUCAGAAGAAAUAAUGAGGAGGUGACUAAACUUAAAGUCCAGAGGAAACCAGAAAAAAGCAGCAGCAGCCAUGAGUCCACCAGGAAACAAAGCUUUCCCUGAAGAACCUCCGAGCAGACUUCUCUGUACAGCUCAUUUGUCAGACAAGCCAGAUGACUGACCCAGCUGCAGGGGAGACCAGAAAGUGGGGAACAGGAUCGCUAUGAUUGUAUUACCCCAUCAAGAUCCAUUGCCUCAAGAUGGGCACAUUGGCACCUCAAAAAACCAAGAAGAAAGUGAAAACAGAUAUUAAGUAAUUUGCAACAUCUGCAACAAACACCAUCCGCCUUCCAAUCACACAUCAGGUUAAGUCUACUCUACCCCUUAAAUACCUCUAAAUUGCAUCUCCUUUAUCACUACCCCUACUUUAACCUAAAUUGCUAUCAUCUAUGCUCAGGAUCAGAGCAGCAGACCUUCAUUGUUUCUCUGCUGUAUAAUACUGUUUCUUCCUUCCAAUUUCUUCUCCAACUUUAUCCAGUGUGAUCUUUCAUGGAGUUAAAUCUGAACUUGUUAUUCAUUCGGCUUAAACCACUUCAGCGGCAAACACCAGGCUAUUUCUUUCCUCUGCUCCUCUGGUCCCCCCUGCAUAGUACUUGCUUUACCAACCACUCCCACUUACCCACAUGUAGCUAAUUCCUAAUUAUCCUUUAAGGUUUUCUCUCACUCUUCCCAUCACAUUGCUCAUCUCUCAGCUAAGGUAGGUGCAACUUCAUGUGUUCUCAAAUAGUGUAUUUGUAUUGUAUAAUUGUUCUGUUUAAUACGAUUCUGUAUUAUCAUUGUCUCAUAUCGUUGUCAUCGCUACUGAAUAGAGUUUCUUUAAAAUUAAAGCUUUUGUUUCAUUCACAGCCGGGUCCGUACCACCCAGCACAAUACCUGGCACAUAAGCAUUCUGUUAAUGCUUAUUGAAUAACAGGUUGAUUGAUUGAAGAAGAAUACUUGCAUAUUGUUGUUAAUUGGGUAGACACUUGUAAUAAAAGAAUGAACAAGAGACAGCAUAACAAAAUUACGGAGUGUGGAAUCUGGAUCUUUACAGACUAUCUCCACAAGGUCCGCUCUGUGACCUUCAACUAGUUAAGUUAAUCUCUUUGUGCAAAUUUCCUCAUAUGUAAAAUGUAGAUAAUGAUAAUACUAAAAAGACUGUAAUAAGAAUUUUAAAAGUUAAUGCUUAUAAUUGUAAGUAAUGUAUAGAGUAAUACCUGACACAUGAUAAAUGUUACAAAUGUUUUUUAAAUAAGUAAAUAAGACAGUCAUGAUUCCUGUCCCCACAGAACUUACAGUAGAGGUCAGUGCUGUCCAAUAGAAAUAUAAGGUGAGCCACAUAUAUAAUUUAAAAUUUUCUGAUAGCCAGAUUAAAAGUGAUUAGAUUACAAUUUAAAUUAAUUUUAAGAAUUUAUUUAAACUAACACAUCAAAAUAUUAUCAUUUUAACAUGUAAUCAAUUUCUUAGAGUUAUUAAUGAGAUACUUUGCAUUUUUUAAUUUUGUAUAAGUCUUUGAAAUCCAGAGACUGUUUUAUACUUACAGCACAUCUCAAUUCACAUGCUUAAUUUUCAUCUGUUACUGAAACUAUAUUUAGAUUGAAUGAACUUACAGUUGAAAAAGUAGAUACAUAUCCAAGUUGUUCUAAAUAUACUUAAUAAUUUUUCAAUCAAUGACCCAGUCAUUUUAAAAUUUAAAUUUAUUAAAAUUAAAUAAAAUUAGGAGUUAACUUCCUCAGUCACGCUAGUUAUUCUUAGUGUUUAACAGCUACAUAUUGGACAGCACAGGACCUGAGAAAAAUAUGAGUAAGCGGACAAUUAUAGAAUGUGAUGAAAUGCUAUGUUAGGGCAAGAAUAGAGUGCUCUGGGAGCACAUAGUAGGGGUGCUGACAUAGCUUGGGCAGACGGAAUUUAUGAAGGGGAUUUUCCUGGAGAAUAUGCUGUCUGUUCUGAGAUCUCAAGGAUAAGAAGGAGCUAGUAGGUGAUAAAGAGGAAAGAGCAUCUGACAGAAGAAAUGGUGCUGGAUGAGGGGAAAUGUAGCAUUUUCACAGACCUGAGCAUGUUUCAGAGUGACAAAUGCAGAGUGUACAUGUGUGUGUAACAAGUGGGAAAUGCGUUAGAAGGGAAGACGUGGAAAAGGGAGCAGUUGAGAGGGAGGCUAGACAAGUAAGCAAGGGAGGAAAUCAUGAGAGGUUUUGUGACACAUGUGAAGGGGGCCAGACUGUCCAGAAGGCAAGGAGGAGCCACUGAAGGAUUUAAACAGGGUAGUGACAUGAUCACCAUAUGCUUAUUAAAGGUCAUUCUGGCUACAGGAUGAAAAAUGUUUAGAAGACAGAAACCACGGCUGGCACCUCAUGCCCAUCAGGAUGGCUACUAUCAAAAAACAGAAAAUAACAAGAGCUGGUGAGGAGUUGGAAAAGUUGGCACCCUUGUGCUUUGUUGGUAGGAAUGUAAAUUGGUGCCACCACUAUGGGAGAGGGUAUGGAAGUUCAUUAAAAAUUAAAUUAGAAGCAUAUACCCCAAAGUAUGGAAAGCAGCUCUCGAAGAGCUAUUUGUGCACUCGUGUUCAUAGCAGCAUUAUUCACAAAAGGUAAAAUAUGGAAGCAACCCAAGUUGCUCAUCCACUGAUGGAAGAGUGGAUAAGCAAAAUGUGAUAGAUCUACAGUGGAAUAUUACUAGGUCUUGAAAAGGAAGGAAAUUCUAACACAUGCUACAGCAUGGAUGAAACUUGAGGACAUUAUGCUCAGUGAAAUAAACCAAUCACAAAAAGACAAAUACUAUAUGAUUCCACUCACAGGAGGCAUCUUGAGUAGUCAAAAUCAUAGAGACGGAAAGUAGAAUGGUGGUUGCCAGGGGCAGGGUGGGGAGAAUACAGAGGUGUUGUUAAAUGUGUGUGGAAUUUCAGUUUUGCAAGAUGAGAAGAGUUCUGGAGAUUGAUUGUGGUGAUGGUUGCACAACAAUAGAAAUGUACUUAAAUGCCACUGGAUUGAACACUUGAAAAAGAUUAAGAUGAUAAAUUUUAUGUUAUGCGUAUUUUACCACAAUAAAAAAGUGGCUGGACAUCAAGUUAAAAUAUGGUAUCACUGUGGUGCAGUCAAGAGAUAAACAUGGGAGCUGAAAUGGGGUAAGAGAAAUAUGGACAGAAAGAAGUGGGUUGAUUUCAAGGAUAUUAGGGGUACAAUUAACAAGAAUUUAUUGGUGAUGGAUUUUAAUCAAGUGUAAGGGAGAGUCAGGAGGCAAGCUACGUCCCAGAUUUCUAGCGUGAAAAACUGGUGUGGAGAGUGAUGAUACUGGUUGAGAUAGGAAACCAAGAGGAGACAUAGAUUUGGCUGGGGCUGGGGGUGAGGAGAAAUGGGUUCACCUUCAGAUACGUGGAUUUUCAGUUGGUUGCAAUGAACCCAAGGGGAACUGUCUAGCAAGGAGUUGGGCAUAUAGGUCAUAAUUUCUGGAGACAGAUCUUAGAGCCACUCUCAAAUGGAGGAUAAUGAAAGCUGUAGGAGUGGAUGAUGUCCAGGGAGUAUGCCCUGCACAUUUAUGUUGUCUGCCAACACAUUUGGUUUUCUUUUGAGUAUUUUGCACUUCCUCACCAACAGUCUGUGUGAUUUGAGUAGGGGUCCCUCUCUGGCCCCAAGGAUAGAAUAGGAGACCCAGAUCUAAGUCAAGUAGAAGAUCUCAUACUCUUGGCCACAGUGAUUGGGGUAUAGGAGUGGCAGCCUAAGCUAGUAAAAUAAGUGAGAACCUAAAAACUUGUACAGGAGCUACUGAUAAAGAAGGCCUAUUCUGUUUGAUCCCAUUGGACUAGAACCUGGAAAAAUAAGAAACUAGAGCUAGCAGCCAUCUUGCUACCAUGAGAGUGACAGCCACUGGAGGUCAUCACAUAGAGCCUGAGAAGAAAACCAACACAUAGGUUUGAGGUGAAGAAAAGCUGAGUUCUUUUUAUGUCAUUUCAGCCAUGAAUCCAGCCAUGGCUGAAAUAAGACCUACCCUGGACAUUUCAAAAUGUGAGCUAAAAAACAAUGCCUCUUUUCCCUUAAGCUAGAUUGAGUUGAGUUUUCGGUAUCUGUGUCAUAAUGAAUACAGGCAGUCCCCACUUUGCAUGGUAGUUCAGGACCAUAAAAAUAACUCUGCAAGCUGAAACCAUGCAGUGAUCUUAAUAAUCAAUAGGAAGAAUUACAAUUGGUCUGUGACCUUUAAAAUGUUUUAAUCAAAACGUUAAAAACUCUAUUUGGGGGAAUUGAAAAAAAUUAGUUUUAUAAUAUUUAGUACAUGAAAAUUUAAAACAUUAGAAAUAUUGAGAAUUUAAGUGUUUUAUUUCUUUGUACAAAACUUAUCAAAAGGAGUUUAAAUAGUCUUUGCCUUCUUAUCAUAUAACUUAAGAUACAGAGUGAGGGACUUCCCUGGUGGCGCAGUGGUUAAGAAUCCACCUGCCAGUGCAGGGGACACGGGUUCCAUCCCUGGUCCUGGAAGAUCCCACAUGCCACUGAGCAACUAAGCCCGUGUGCCACAACUACUGAGCCUGUUCUCUAUAGAGCCCGCGAGCCACAACUACUGAGCCCACGUGCUGCAACUACUGAAGCCUGCAUGUCUACAGUCUGUGCUCCACAACAAGAGAAGCCACCAUAAUGAGAAGCCCGUGCACCGCAACGAAGAGUAGCCCCCACUCACUGCAACUAGAGAAAGCCCACAUGCAGCAACGAAGACCCAACGCAGCCAAAAAUAAAAAUAAAUUAAUUAAUUAAUUUUAAAAGAAGAUACAGAGUAAACAUCUUUUCUAUGCCUUGGCAAAUUAUCAUACUCCUUACUAAGUUUGGAUCAGCUUCCAACAUUUUGUCUUUUGCACUUUCAGUGCUGUGAAAUAUCCCCAUGACUUCCUUUAAUAUGAAGGUUUUUGGGGGUUUUUUUUGCCAGUGUCACUUCCUCUGGGACAUCAUUCUUUUUGUCAACAGCCACUUUCCUCAUUUAUAUUAAUAUGUUCCCUUUAUGAAAUUUCUGUGGCUGCAUGUCUAGAGUCUCUGGAACAGUGACAGGCUCAACAUUCUCACAAUCAGCUAUUUCUCUCGUAACUUCAUUUGCCUUCAGUUCGAAUUCUGCAAAAUCGUGCCAAUUUCUGAAACAAUGAAAUCAGCCUUUACUGUCAGUAAAAGGUUCUUCUUCAGUCUUCUUGUAAUUACUGUUUUUUUCAGCGCAGCACCCAAAUUUAAUGUUUGGCCUAAAUGCUAGUUAAACUGAUUGGAUUUUUUCAUUACAGUCUUCAAUCCAAAGUAGAAGUAAAUUCUCUAUUUCCACCAUUAGCAGCUUCUUGUUCUGAAGGCAACUUAAACUAAACAAUAUUGAAGCCACUUUACCUUGUUUUUGAUUUAUCAGACUUUUUCAAUAUUGUUCAUUCAGUGGCUCCGUGCAGCCCAGGUCUCAUCCUGGCUUUAUUCUGCUGUCUCCAUUUUCAAAUCUAAUCACACCCAAUUUCACUUCUGCAUUAUCACUUUUAAUUUCUUUGCUGAACUUUCAUUUUUUUCUAUUAUUCAUUUUUGUUAAAUGUCAUACGAGUUUAUCACCAAGAGACAAGGAGACAACCCAACUACAGGCUUUGCUGUCUGUGCAUGAACUGAAUAACUGAUGUACAAUGGCAAUCACCAACAGACUUUGAAAGAAGUGAUGUGGUUGGUCACUGAUUAUGAAGCACGUCUGUUAUUUACGUAGGGAUUUGUGGAGCUAGCCGUGAAGUUUAUAUUUUAUGCAAUUACUCACAGUUAAUAUACUGUGUAACUGAAAUCUGAAGCAUGUUAUUGGGAGACUGGGUUAUUUAACUAAAUCGUGGUCAAUGACAUUGGUGCAUGUCAAACUCUUCAAAGCAAUGACUUCCUUACUACCCAACAGAGAUUGUAUAAGGAGAAAACAGAAGAAAGGAAGAAAGCCUAGGAGAGAACCCUGAGAAGAACCAAUAUUUAAUGGAUGGCAAAAGAAGAGAAACAUGCACAAUAACUUAUAAAGAGUGGCCAAAGAAGUAGUGGGAAAACCAGAAGCACGUGAUAUCACACAAGGCAAGAAAAGAGAUUGCAAUUGCAUUUGCCACUUCUUCUUUAAAUUGAGAUAAAACUUUCAUCCCAUAAAAUUCACCAUUUUAAAGUGUACAAUUCAGUAGUUUUUACUAUAUUCACAAAGUUGUGCAACCAUCAUUAUCUAAUUCUUAAAUAUUCUUAUCACGCCAAAAAUAAACCCUAUACCCAUUAGCAAUCACUUCCCAUUCUCUCCUCUUUCCAACUCCUGGAAUCUACUUUAUGUCUAUAUGGAUUUACCUGUUCUGGACAUUUUAUAUAAGUGGAAUUAUACAACAUAUGCCCUUUUGCAUAUGAUUUCUAUUGUAAUACCUUCAAGGUUUUUCCAUGUUGUAGCAUCUAUCAGUACUUAUUACUUUUUGUGGUUGAAUAAUAUUCUGUUGUGUGAACAUACCAUAUUUAUUUAUCCAUUCAUCAGGUGAUGGAAAUUUGAGUUGUUUCUACCUUUGGAGUAUUAUGAGUAAUGUUGUGACUAAUAUUUGUGUAAAAGUUUUUGUGUGAACAUAUGUUUUCAAUUUUCCUGGGGAUAUACCUAGGAAUAGAAUUGCUGGGCCAUAUGAUAACUCUAACGUCUUGAGAAACCACCAGACCAUUUCCACCAUUUUAUCUUCCAAGCAAAGUGUGAGGGUUCUUUCAGUUCUUUUUUUAAAAAAAGCUUAUAUAUUCAUAUUUCUUCUCAUUCUGCUUGUCUAGUUUCUCAUUUCAUUUCACCAAGCACAUUUCCUCCUUGCAUCUUUGACUUCCAUAUCCUACAUUUGAUAAA
Molecule: long non-coding RNA, 7502 nt
Organism: Globicephala melas (long-finned pilot whale)
Lineage: Eukaryota; Metazoa; Chordata; Mammalia; Artiodactyla; Delphinidae
Source: RefSeq, a predicted model, not a curated record